UACGUAGGGGGCGAGCGUUAUCCGGAAUUACUGGGCGUAAAGCGCACGCAGGCGGUUCGCCAAGUUUGGAGUGACAGUUAUCGGCUCAACCGACAAAGGACUUCAAAAACUGGUGAACUUGAGGACGAGAGAGGAACAUGGAACUCCAGGUGUAGUAGUGAAAUGCGUAGAUAUCUGGAAGAACACCAAUGGCGAAGGCAAUGUUCUGGCUCGUUUCUGACGCUCAGGUGCGAAAGCCAGGGGAGCGAACGGG
Molecule: ribosomal RNA, 253 nt
Filed under: uncultured bacterium
Lineage: Bacteria
Description: partial 16S ribosomal RNA
Rfam family: Bacterial small subunit ribosomal RNA
Source: RNAcentral